This 73-nucleotide transfer RNA is filed under the name Propylenella binzhouense. It matches the Rfam family "tRNA". From Rfam's summary of the family: Transfer RNA (tRNA) molecules are approximately 80 nucleotides in length. Their secondary structure includes four short double-helical elements and three loops (D, anti-codon, and T loops). Lineage: Bacteria; Pseudomonadati; Pseudomonadota; Alphaproteobacteria; Hyphomicrobiales; Propylenellaceae. The record is from Rfam by way of RNAcentral.
CAGGGUGUAGCGCAGUCGGUAGCGCACUCGCAUCGCAAGCGAGGGGUCGGCGGUUCGAGCCCGCCCACCCUCG